This 500-nucleotide ribosomal RNA is filed under the name uncultured bacterium. RNAcentral describes it as "bacterial SSU rRNA". It matches the Rfam family "Bacterial small subunit ribosomal RNA", at positions 36 to 507 of the family's 1533-position model. The record is from RNAcentral.
CUGGCGGCGUGCUUAACACAUGCAAGUCGAACGAGACGAUUUAGAAGCUUGCUUUUAUGAGUCGAGUGGCAAACGGGUGAGUAACGCGUAGACAACCUGCCGCAAAGAUGGGGACAACAGUCCGAAAGGACUGCUAAUCCGAAUGUUGUGUAUCCUCCGCAUGGAGGACGCAUGAAAGAUGGCCUCUACUUGUAAGCUAUCACCUAGAGAUGGGCCUGCGUCUGAUUAGCUAGUUGGUGGGGCAACGGCCUACCAAGGCGACGAUCAGUAGCCGGUCUGAGAGGAUGAACGGCCACAUUGGAACUGAGACACGGUCCAGACUCCUACGGGAGGCAGCAGUGGGGAAUCUUCCGCAAUGGACGAAAGUCUGACGGAGCAACGCCGCGUGAACGAUGACGGCCUUCGGGUUGUAAAGUUCUGUUAUACGGGACGAAUGGCGUAGCGGUCAAUACCCGUUACGAGUGACGGUACCGUAAGAGAAAGCCACGGCUAGCUACGUG